AGAGUUUGAUUAUGGCUCAGGAUGAACGCUGGCGGCAUGCCUAAUACAUGCAAGUCGAACGAGAGACCUUCGGGUCUCUAGUGGCGAACGGGUGAGUAACACGUAGGGAACCUGCCCGCGCACCGGGAAUACGCUCUGGAAACGGAGAACAAAUCCCGAUGUACAGGAAGGAGGCAUCUUCUUUCUGUGAAACAUCCUUUAGGGGAUGGGGCGCGGAUGGACCUGCGGUGCAUUAGUUGGUUGGCGGGGUAAAGGCCCACCAAGACGAUGAUGCAUAGCCGGCCUGAGAGGGCGGACGGCCACAUUGGGACUGAGACACGGCCCAGACUCCUGCGGGAGGCAGCAGUAGGGAAUUUUCGUCAAUGGGCGCAAGCCUGAACGAGCGAUGCCGCGUGAGUGAAGAAGGCCUUCGGGUCGUAAAGCUCUGUUGCGGGGGAAAAAAGGCAGCAUCAGGAAAUGGGUGCUGACUGAUGGUGCCCCGCCAGAAAGUCACGGCUAACUACGUGCCAGCAGCCGCGGUAAUACGUAGGUGGCGAGCGUUAUCCGGAAUGAUUGGGCGUAAAAGGUGCG
Molecule: ribosomal RNA, 570 nt
Filed under: uncultured bacterium
Lineage: Bacteria
Description: bacterial SSU rRNA
Rfam family: Bacterial small subunit ribosomal RNA
Source: RNAcentral